Molecule: ribosomal RNA, 406 nt
Filed under: uncultured bacterium
Lineage: Bacteria
Description: partial 16S ribosomal RNA
Rfam family: Bacterial small subunit ribosomal RNA
Source: RNAcentral
AUUGAACGCUGGCGGCAGGCCUAACACAUGCAAGUCGAACGAGCGGCGGACGGGUGAGUAAUGUCUGGGAAACUGCCCGAUGGAGGGGGAUAACUACUGGAAACGGUAGCUAAUACCGCAUACCCUCGGAUGUGCCCAGAUGGGAUUAGCUAGUAGGUGGGGUAAAGGCUCACCUAGGCGACGAUCCCUAGCUGGUCUGAGAGGAUGACCAGCCACCCGGGAACUGAGACACGGUCCAGACUCCUACGGGAGGCAGCAGUGGGGAAUAUUGCACAAUGGGCGCAAGCCUGAUGCAGCCAUGCCGCGUGUGUGAAGAAGGCCUUCGGGUUGUAAAGCACUUUCAGCGGGGAGGCGUUACCCGCAGAAGAAGCACCGGCUAACUCCGUGCCAGCCGCCGCGGUAAUAC